This 253-nucleotide ribosomal RNA is filed under the name uncultured bacterium. Its description in RNAcentral is "partial 16S ribosomal RNA". It matches the Rfam family "Bacterial small subunit ribosomal RNA", at positions 524 to 776 of the family's 1533-position model. The record is from RNAcentral.
UACGGAGGGUGCAAGCGUUAUCCGGAUUCACUGGGUUUAAAGGGUGCGUAGGCGGCCCGGUAAGUCAGUGGUGAAAUCUCCUUGCUUAACAAGGAAACUGCCAUUGAUACUGUCGGGCUUGAGUACAGUUGCUGUGGGCGGAAUAUGACAUGUAGUGGUGAAAUACAUAGAGAUGUCAUAGAACACCGAUUGCGAAGGCAGCUCACAAAACUGUAACUGACGCUGAGGCACGAAAGUGCGGGGAUCAAACAGG